CUUCCGACCACAGACGACCCUACUCCGAACUUCUUCCAGACUUCGUCAAUAUCCGAGCUUCUCCGACAAUGAAAAUUUCUACAGUAAUCAGACUUCAUCCAAGUUGCUACGGCAGUCGACCGCCUUCCGGACUCCACUCGAGCUCCUGAGAGAGUCAAACUUCUACUACGAGCGGUCCACUCCGAACUUCUACUACAAGCGGUCCACUCUGAACUUCUGGAUCCCAGACGAGCUUCUACAAUGGGACAGGAUCUGUCGGCCAGGUCGCUACUCCGAGCUCCCACGACAAUCGAUCUUCGACUGAGCUUCUACAAUAAGCAGUCCCCUUUCAGCUUUCUACAAGAACCAGACUCUGUCCGAACUUCCAUAGCAGA
Molecule: long non-coding RNA, 374 nt
Filed under: Elaeis guineensis (African oil palm)
Lineage: Eukaryota; Viridiplantae; Streptophyta; Magnoliopsida; Arecales; Arecaceae
Description: long non-coding RNA (EGUI_LNC068307)
Source: RNAcentral